UUCCGGUUGAUCCCGCCGGAGAUAACCGUUAUCAGGGUUCGAUUAAGCCAUGCGAGGCGCGAGCUAUCUGGGCUCGCCGCACUGCUCAGUAACACGUAGUUAACUUGCCCUUGGGUGGGGGAUAAUCUUGCGAAAGUGAGGCUAAUACCCCAUAGAUUGCGGAGGCUGGAAUGCACUGCAAUUCAAAGCUCCGGCGCCCAAGGAUAGGACUGCGGCGUAUCAAGGUCGUUGUCAGUGUAAAGAACUGACAAGCCGAUAACGCGUAGGGGCCAUGAGAGUGGGAGCCUCGAGAUGCGCUCUGAGACAUGAGCGCAGGUCCUACGGGACGCAGCAGGCGCGAAAACUUUCCAAUUGCUUCACGGCUGAGAAGGGAACCUUGAGUGGAUAUGCUAUUGCAUAUUCUUUUGCCAAGUCCAAAUAGCUUGGCGAAUAAGGGCUGGGUAAGACGGGUGCCAGCCGCCGCGGUAAUACCCGCGGCCCGAAUGGUUAUCGCGUUUAUUGGGUCUAAAGCGUCCGUAGCCGGUUAGGCAAGUCCCUUGUGAAAUCUGGCAGCAAACUGUCAGGCGUGCUGGGGAUACUACCAAACUUGGGAUCGGGAAAGGGACAAGGUAUUCCGCGUGUAGGGGUUAAAUCCUUUAAUCCGCGGAGGACCACCUGUGGCGAAGGCGUUGUCCUGGAACGAGUCCGACGGUGAGGGACGAAAGCUGGGGGAGCGAAUGGGAUUAGAUACCCCAGUAGUCCCAGCUGUAAACAAUGCCCGUUUGGUGUUGCAGUUCUUACGAGGAACUGCAGUGCCGGAGCGUAGGUGUUAAACGGGCCACCUGGGGAGUACGGCCGCAAGGUUGAAACUUAAGGGAAUUGGCGGGGGAGCACACAAGGGGUGGAGGCUGCGGUUCAAUUGGAUUCAACGCCGGACAUCUUACCAUGGCCGACGGCAGAAUGAAGGUCAACCCAACGGGUUUACCAGACAAGCCGAGAGCAGUUGCAUGGCCAUUGUCAGCUCGUACCUUGAGGCGUGCCGUUAAGUCGGUUAACGAGCGAGACCCACACCGUCAGUUGCAACCAUAUCGUCUCCAAGCAAUUGGAAGCCGAUGUGAGCACUCUGGCGGGACCGCCACUGCUAAAGUGGAGGAAGGAGUGGGCGACAGUAGGUCCGUAUGGCGCGGAUGCCAUGGGCUACACGCGGCCUACAAUGCGUCAGACAAUGCGAUGCAACGCCGAAAGGCGAAGCUAAUCGCCCAAACUGACGCUCAGUUCAGAUUGCGGGCUGCAACUCGCCCGCAUGAAGCCGGAAUCCCUAGUAGGCGGGCGUCAUAAUCGCUCGCCGAAUACGUCCCUGCUCUUUGCACACACCGCCCGUC
Molecule: ribosomal RNA, 1361 nt
Filed under: uncultured archaeon
Lineage: Archaea
Description: bacterial SSU rRNA
Rfam family: Archaeal small subunit ribosomal RNA
Source: RNAcentral